Molecule: ribosomal RNA, 403 nt
Filed under: uncultured bacterium
Lineage: Bacteria
Description: bacterial SSU rRNA
Rfam family: Bacterial small subunit ribosomal RNA
Source: RNAcentral
UAGGGAAUAUUGCAAAAUGGGCGAAAGCCCGAUGCAGCAACGCCGCGUGGGCGAUGAAGGCCUUCGGGUCGUAAAGCCCUUUUUGAGGGGAUGAGGAAGGACAGUACCCUCAGAAUAAGCCUCGGCUAACUACGUGCCAGCAGCCGCGGUAAAACGUAGGAGGCGAGCGUUAUCCGGAUUUACCGGGCGUAAAGCGCGUGCAGGCGGAUUGGAGAGUUGGAUGUGAAAGCUCCCGGCUUAACUGGGAGAGGUCGUUCAAUACUUCCAGGCUUGAGUGCAGUAGAGGGAAGUGGAAUUCCGGGUGUAGUGGUGAAAUGCGUAGAUAUCCGGAGGAACACCAGUGGCGGAAGCGGCUUCCUGGACUGUAACUGACGCUCAGACGCGAAAGCUAGGGUAGCAAACG